Zea mays is the source of this 258-nucleotide RNA transcript. It is a transcript of the gene named ribosomal protein eS7 pseudogene, with no coding region annotated. NCBI's taxonomy places the organism in Eukaryota, Viridiplantae, Streptophyta, Magnoliopsida, Poales, Poaceae. The record is from RefSeq and is marked validated. The transcript has 2 exons.
GCUUUCUUUGAUCUGGAGAAUGGGAACCAGGAGCUCAAGAGCGACCUCAAGGACCUGUACAUCAACAAUGCUAUCCAGAUGGAUGUUACCGGGAGCAGGAAGGCUGUUGUCAUCCACGUCCCAUACCGCCUGCGCAAGGCCUUUAGGAAGAUCCAUGUCAGACUCGUCAGGGAGCUGGAGAAGAAAUUCAGCGGCAAGGUGAUUUUCUCUUUUUUGUUUUUUCUACUGCUGUUCGUGGUUUAGGUUUAUAUGCUGAUU